Molecule: transfer RNA, 72 nt
Filed under: Mucor hiemalis
Lineage: Eukaryota; Fungi; Mucoromycota; Mucoromycetes; Mucorales; Mucoraceae
Also listed under: 1 other name
Description: tRNA-Asp
Rfam family: tRNA
About the family: Transfer RNA (tRNA) molecules are approximately 80 nucleotides in length. Their secondary structure includes four short double-helical elements and three loops (D, anti-codon, and T loops).
Source: RNAcentral
UCUUCGAUAGUAUAGUGGUGAGUAUCCCCGCCUGUCACGCGGGAGACCGGGGUUCAAUUCCCCGUCGGAGAG